This is an RNA transcript of Hippocampus zosterae (dwarf seahorse), 1368 nucleotides long. It is a transcript of the gene named aspartate dehydrogenase domain containing, with no coding region annotated. The record is from RefSeq and is a predicted model, not a curated record. Lineage: Eukaryota; Metazoa; Chordata; Actinopteri; Syngnathiformes; Syngnathidae. The transcript has 8 exons.
AUUAACUUUGGCCUCUGCGGGUCAUACUUUGUACUCUGCUCCCACGCUUCCCUUUGCCAGACGUGCUUCACUCAGAUUGGGAGACCCGGCAAAGGUGUGGGAUUAUCGGUGCAUGUUCUGAACCUUGAUUAGCCUGUUCGGGUCCACCGCGUAAGUAAAAUGGCAGCAAGGCCCCCUUCCCUCCGUAUUGGAAUUGUCGGAUUUGGACAUCUAGGACAGUACUUGGUGGAGAGAAUCAUCAAAGAUGGCGGCCCCGUCGGCUUAACUUUGGCUUUUGUUUGGAACCGAAAGCUUGAAAAGAUGAAAGGUUUAGUCCCCGAUGAACUCGUCUUGGGGAAUCUGUCGUCCUUCGCAGACAGGGAAUGCGAUGUCAUUGUGGAGGUGUGCCAUCCUCAGGUGGUGAAAGAAUUUGGAGUCCACUUCCUGUCUCACUCGCAUUUUAUGGUUGGCUCCCCUUCCGCCCUCGCCGAUCAUGACCUGAAUGCGAAACUUCGUCAGGCGGCACAGUUGCAUGGAAGAACGCUUUACGUCCCCAGCGGUGCGUUAUGGGGAGGUCAAGAUAUCCAGAGGAUGAACGAUAGCGGCGUCUUGCAGGCUUUAUUCAUAAGAAUGUCCAAGCAUCCAUCCUGCUACCGGCUGACGGCAGAUGUCUCCUCCGAGUGGGCGGAGGGACAAGGGAGGCGGGUUUUAUUCAGAGGCUCAGUUUCGGAGCUGUGCCCCCUCGCUCCCAACAAUGUCAACACCAUGGCGACGGCAGCGGUGGCUGCAGGGAAGCUCGGUUUUGACGGCGUUCAGGGAGAGAUUGUGUCAGACACGGCUUUGAGUGAUUAUCACGUGGUGGAGGUGCAGGCGACGGGGCCUGAUGGUUUCUCAGCGCACACGGUGAGAAGGAAUCCAAGCCAACUCGGCGCCGUAACCGGUUGCGCAACAUACAACUCAUUUUGGAAUAGCUUACUUGGUAAGCUUCUCACUUCCUCAGGGUUGAGUGGAAACGUUUGUUUUGGAUCAAGUCGUGCGAGUUGAGACCAAAAAAACAACAUCGAGAUAAUUUUUUUGUCAACUUACCGGCUACGGCGACAGGCCUCGUGAAAUCCGCACAUGCUUUAUUUGGAUCCCACGUGAUUUUGGGACAAAAUUCUGGAAUAAUAACACAUUCUGUAAAGGUCACGGGGGUCGAGUUUAUUUGUGCUGAAGCAACUCAUGCCCACGGAAGACGAGCCUGCCAAACGGCGGCUAGCAAAGCAAAGAAGUCUGAGCAGUUUUUUGUUUGUAAACCCUUUGACGGGUCGGCUAUGUUGAAUCUUUAUUAUAUGUUCAUAUGGUGCGAGAUCGGAAGAAAUGAUGAAACUCUCACAGGGAGUAUACAUA